ACCGAAUAGAUACCCGGGUAGUCCACGCCCUAAACGAUGCGAACUGGAUGUUGGGUACAUUACGGUACUCAGUGUCGAAAGCUAAACGCGUUAAGUUCGCCGCCUGGGGAGUACGGUCGCAAGACUGAAACUCAAAGGAAUUGACGGGGGCCCGCACAAGCGGUGGAGUAUGUGGUUUAAUUCGAUGCAACGCGAAGAACCUUACCUGGCCUUGACAUCUGUCGAAUCCUGCAGAGAUGCGGGAGUGCCGCAAGGAACGACAAGACAGGUGCUGCAUGGCUGUCGUCAGCUCGUGUCGUGAGAUGUUGGGUUAAGUCCCGCAACGAGCGCAACCCUUGUCCCUAGUUGCCAGCACGUAAUGGUGGGAACUCUAGGGAGACUGCCGGUGACAAACCGGAGGAAGGUGGGGAGUGACGUCAAGUCCGUCAUGGCCCGUUA
This 438-nucleotide ribosomal RNA is filed under the name uncultured bacterium. RNAcentral's name for it is "bacterial SSU rRNA". It matches the Rfam family "Bacterial small subunit ribosomal RNA", at positions 772 to 1205 of the family's 1533-position model. The record is from RNAcentral.